UUUAUCCUGCCCCAGAGGCCAUCCCCUGGUGCCCGUUUUCAGCAGGAGAAUCAUGAUGAUCAAUGAAGCCGGGCUCUACAAUCAGUGGCUGAAGCAAUUGUUCCCAAAUUAUUCCUCCUGUUCCAAUAUGCCGACCAAGGUUGCUGUCCAGACUUCACUUUCCUUUGUUAACAUCUGGGGCAUGUUUCUUGUGCUGGUGUUCGGCCUUGGUCUCAGUCUGCUUGUCCUGGGCAUGGAGCUCCUGCAUGAUCACUACGAUCCUGCAUGAUUACUAAGCUCCUACGUGAUUACUAAGCUUUUAAUUGAUUAUUAAGAUUCUGCACCAGCACUAAGAAUAUUUACAGAAAGUUAUCUUAUGUAUGAUCAUGAAGCUUAUGAAGCUGCUGUAUGAUGAAUGAGCUCCUGAAAGAUCAUGGUGAUCCUAUACAAAUUGAAACUCCUUCAUGCUCAAUAAUCGCUUGUAUGAUCAUGGAGAUUUCCUGUGACAUGGAUCUCCUGAACCAUCAUUUAGCUCCUAUAUGAUA
Procambarus clarkii (red swamp crayfish) is the source of this 524-nucleotide non-coding RNA. The record is from RefSeq and is a predicted model, not a curated record. NCBI's taxonomy places the organism in Eukaryota, Metazoa, Arthropoda, Malacostraca, Decapoda, Cambaridae.